This 281-nucleotide long non-coding RNA is filed under the name Physcomitrium patens. Its description in RNAcentral is "long non-coding RNA (PPAT_LNC003360)". Lineage: Eukaryota; Viridiplantae; Streptophyta; Bryopsida; Funariales; Funariaceae. The record is from RNAcentral.
CUUAUUAGACCUAAAAAUCUAAUUUCUAAGACCCUAAUCCACUUGAACUUCAAUAACCUCCAAUCUAAUCGCUAUCUUAUACUUUAUUUGAACCACAGCCUCAUUCUUCAUUCUUGCUUCUAUAUAGCAACUCAUACUUCAAAUUAUGCUCAGAAUUCAUGCUUCAUUCUUACUUAUAUUUUACUUGGUAAUAUAAAUCCUUACAUUGAUUUGAUGGCUUUAUUUUUAAAAGUAUCUCUAAAUAUAACUAAUUUAUCUCAUAGUUCUACAUUCAAUUCAAU